Zingiber officinale is the source of this 518-nucleotide long non-coding RNA. RefSeq lists it as uncharacterized. NCBI's taxonomy places the organism in Eukaryota, Viridiplantae, Streptophyta, Magnoliopsida, Zingiberales, Zingiberaceae. The record is from RefSeq and is a predicted model, not a curated record. The transcript is spliced from 2 exons.
AAAUCUGUUUUUUCUCUCUCGUGUUUCUCAUCGCCGAAGCCGUCUUCGAACUCCAAAGCCCUACCCUAGCUCUCUAGACGCUCACUCACGACGAUUCUCCUCGGCCGCCAUCCUCACCAACCUGGCAUCUCCAGUGCCUUUAACCUCACCAUCGAGAGGACAACCCAUAUCGCUAGGGCCUACGACGUCAGCAACCUCAACGACUGCUCCUCCGAUUUCCAAAGGAUACACAACCUGGACUUCUAAGAGCACAAAAUCCUACAAAGAAACUGAUCCAAUUGGGGGUGCAGUUCAUCUCCAUGGACAAAUAAUCAAGGAUUCGGUGGAAAAUCUAAAGAUCAAGGGGUAUGUCUGAAAGCUAUGUUGGGGAUGCAAUGUUUUCAAUUCAUAGAUUUUAAGCUAAUUUGAUGAUUCAAUUUAUGUUGGCAAUUUAGUUACUUGAGUAUCAAAUCAAGAAUUAGUUUAGUUGAUGCAUUAUUUAAGAUUCAUAGAUUCAUAGAUUUGGCUUGAUUUGAUGA